CCUACGGGAGGCAGCAGUGGGGAAUAUUGGACAAUGGGCGAAAGCCUGAUCCAGCCAUGCCGCGUGUGUGAAGAAGGUCUUCGGAUUGUAAAGCACUUUAAGUUGGGAGGAAGGGCAUUAACCUAAUACGUCAGUGUUUUGACGUUACCAACAGAAUAAGCACCGGCUAACUCCGUGCCAGCAGCCGCG
Molecule: ribosomal RNA, 189 nt
Filed under: uncultured bacterium
Lineage: Bacteria
Description: partial 16S ribosomal RNA
Rfam family: Bacterial small subunit ribosomal RNA
Source: RNAcentral